RNAcentral lists this ribosomal RNA (254 nucleotides) under uncultured bacterium. Its description in RNAcentral is "partial 16S ribosomal RNA". It matches the Rfam family "Bacterial small subunit ribosomal RNA", at positions 524 to 777 of the family's 1533-position model. The record is from RNAcentral.
UACGUAGGGUGCGAGCGUUAAUCGGAAUUACUGGGCGUAAAGCGUGCGCAGGCGGUUUUGUAAGCCAGAUGUGAAAUCCCCGGGCUUAACCUGGGAAUGGCAUUUGGGACUGCAAGGCUUGAGUGCGGCAGAGGAGAAUGGAAUUCCCGGUGUAGCGGUGAAAUGCGCAGAUAUCGGGAGGAACACCGGUGGCGAAGGCGGCAUCCUGGACCGGCAUUGACGCUGAGGAGCGAAAGCGUGGGGAGCAAACAGGG